GCUGGCGGCGUGCCUAACACAUGCAAGUCGAGCGGAGAUGAUGUGAGGAAGUUUUCGGAUGGAAUCACAUUAUUUAGCGGCGGACGGGUGAGUAACGCGUGAGCGACCAACCUUGCACAGGGGGAUAACGGACCGAAAGGUUCACUAAUACCGCAUGAGACCACAGUGUUGCAUGACACAGGGGUCAAAGGAGCAAUCCGGUGCAAGACGGGCUCGCGUCCGAUUAGGUAGUUGGUGGGUAACGGCCCACCAAGCCUAUGAUCGGUAGCCGACCUGAGAGGGUGAUCGGCCACAUUGGAACUGAGAUACGGUCCAAACUCCUACGGGAGGCAGCAGUGGGGAAUAUUGGGCAAUGGGGGAAAAACCCCCUGACCCAGCAACGCCGCGUGAAGGAAGAAGGUUUUCGGAUUGUAAACUUCUGUCCUUGGUGAAGAGAAGAAGACGGUAGCCAAGGAGGAAGCCCCGGCUAACUACGUGCCAGCCGCUGC
This 488-nucleotide ribosomal RNA is filed under the name uncultured bacterium. RNAcentral's name for it is "bacterial SSU rRNA". It matches the Rfam family "Bacterial small subunit ribosomal RNA", at positions 35 to 518 of the family's 1533-position model. The record is from RNAcentral.